Molecule: ribosomal RNA, 402 nt
Filed under: Triticum aestivum (bread wheat)
Lineage: Eukaryota; Viridiplantae; Streptophyta; Magnoliopsida; Poales; Poaceae
Description: partial small subunit ribosomal RNA
Source: RNAcentral
AUGGGCUAUAACAUGCCUAAAGGAACUAAUAUCUUCGUUAAUGUCUUUGCAAUUUCUCGGGAUCCCAAAUAUUGGGACAACCCAGAAGAGUACAAGCCGGAGAGCUUUGAGAACAGCAACGUCGAAUAUUAUGGGACACAUUUUGAAUUCACUCCUUUCGGGGCAAUGCGAAGGCAGUGCCCUGGGAUAUUGUUUGCCAUGUCGACCGUGGAGAUUACCUUGGCAAACCUACUCUACCACUUGGAGAGUAUAUGUGCUCGCCCUGGGGUGGUGUGUGUGGCAGAGUUCGAGCUCGCCGGAAAGAGGUUGUUCGUGCGGCCGGAGGCGUUUGUGCACCGGGAAACCUCGUGCCUUCUCUCUCUUGUUUCUUCCUUGUCUCCGGUGAUCGCCGUGGUUCAGUGA